AUUGACGCUGGCGGCAUGCUUUACACAUGCAAGUCGGACGGCAGCACAGAGAAGCUUGCUUCUUGGGUGGCGAGUGGCGAACGGGUGAGUUACAUAUCGGAACGUACCGAGCAGUGGGGGAUAACUAAUCGAAAGAUUAGCUGAUACCGCAUAUUUUCUGAGGAAGAUAAGCAGGGGACCAUUUGGCCUUGCGCUGUUUGAGCGGCCGAUAUCUGAUUAGCUAGUUGGUGGGGUAAAGGCCUACCAAGGCGACGAUCAGUAGCAGGUCUGAGAGGAUGAUCCGCCACACUGGGACUGAGACACGGCCCAGACUCCUACGGGAGGCAGCAGUGGGGAAUUUUGGACAAUGGGCGCAAGCCUGAUCCAGCCAUGCCGCGUGUCUGAAGAAGGCCUUCGGGUUGUAAAGGACUUUUGUCAGGGAAGAAAAGGGCGGGGUUCAUACCCCUGUCUGAUGACGGUACCCUGAAGCAAUAGCUCAGGUGGA
Molecule: ribosomal RNA, 484 nt
Filed under: Neisseria flava
Lineage: Bacteria; Pseudomonadati; Pseudomonadota; Betaproteobacteria; Neisseriales; Neisseriaceae
Description: bacterial SSU rRNA
Rfam family: Bacterial small subunit ribosomal RNA
Source: RNAcentral